GAUGAAUGCUGGCGGCGUGCUUAACACAUGCAAGUCGAGCGGCAGCGCGAGUAGUUUACUACUUGGCGGCGAGCGGCGGACGGCUGAGUAACGCGUAGGAACGUGCCCCAAAGUGAGGAAUAACUGCCCGAAAGGGUGGCUAAUGCCGCAUAUGAUCUUCGGAUUAAAGGAUUUAUCCGCUUUGGGAGCGGCCUGCGUAUGAUUAGGUAGUUGGUGAGGUAAUGGCUCACCAAGCCGACGAUCAUUAGCUGGUCUGAGAGGAUGACCAGCCAGACUGGAACUGAGACACGGUCCAGACUCCUACGGGAGGCAGCAGUGAGGAAUCUUCCACAAUGGGCGAAAGCCUGAUGGAGCAACGCCGCGUGCAGGAUGAAGGCCUUCGGGUUGUAAACUGCUUUUAUAAGUGAAGAAUAUGACGGUAACUUAUGAAUAAGCACCGGCUAACUACGUGCCAGCCGCCGCGGUAA
This 467-nucleotide ribosomal RNA is filed under the name uncultured bacterium. Its description in RNAcentral is "partial 16S ribosomal RNA". It matches the Rfam family "Bacterial small subunit ribosomal RNA", at positions 28 to 523 of the family's 1533-position model. The record is from RNAcentral.